Molecule: small nuclear RNA, 107 nt
Organism: Tupaia belangeri (northern tree shrew)
Lineage: Eukaryota; Metazoa; Chordata; Mammalia; Scandentia; Tupaiidae
Source: Ensembl
AUGCUCGCUUUGGCAGCACAUAUACUAAAAUUGGAACAAUAUAGAGAAGAUUAGCAUGGCCCCUGCACAAGGAUGACAUGCAAAUUCAUGAAGCGUUCCAUAUUUCU